AAACCCCACACCAAGAAGAAGAAGAAGAAAAGAAGAAGAAGAAAGCCAGGCGGAGGUGUGGAUAAAAUCCACCAAGCCUCCGGCGGAAAAGUUGAUCGAUUAAAAACUUCAUUAAGGGCAAUUGCAGGGGGGGGCCUUCCCGCCCCCCCGCCCCCUCCCCGCAAAGCGUCAGGAUGAGGGAUCGGGGCGAAAACUCGUGAGUAAAGCGGGCAGCUUGCUCCAACUCCGGGUUUAAGCGGCGUCGGGAAAGUGGGGGGGCAAAAACCAAAAGGGAAAAAAAAAAACAGCAAGAAAGUCGAUUGGAUUCCGUUUAUUUUUAUUUUUUUUGAACCGAAUCUAAUUUUCCUGCGAAGAAGGAAGGAAGGAAGGAAGGAAGGAGAUGCCAGUCAAUUAAAUCCAGACCGGAGGGCUCUUCCAAGCCCUGUCCCCCCCCCCUUUCUCCCCCCCCCAAAUCCGAAACUGCCCCCGCCUUUCAUCUUCUUUGUCUCCAGCUGCCAAGUCGGGCGAAUUUCCCCUUUCUUUAUUUUAUUGGCCUCGGAGGCUGAUCAAUUCUCCUUUCGAUUCUUCUUCUCCUUUUUAACUCUCCUGAUCUGGGGGCUCCGCCGUUCCGAAUUCGAGGCUCGCUCCGGUUCUGCUCCCCUUUGGACCAAUGAAGGAACCGGAUGCCAUCAAACUUUUCAUCGGACAGAUCCCUCGGAAUUUAGACGAGAAGGACCUCCGGCCGAUUUUCGAACAGUUUGGCAAAAUCUACGAAUUGACGGUCAUCAAAGAUAAAUACACCGGCAUGCACAAAGGAUGCGCCUUCCUGACGUACUGUGCCCGGGAAUCCGCCCUCAAGGCCCAAAGCGCACUGCAUGAGCAGAAGACUCUGCCAGGGAUGAACCGGCCGAUCCAGGUGAAACCUGCAGACAGCGAAAGUAGGGGAGAAGACAGGAAGCUGUUUGUGGGGAUGCUGGGCAAACAGCAGACCGACGAAGACGUGCGGAAAAUGUUUGAGCCUUUUGGGACGAUUGAUGAAUGCACGGUACUCCGGGGUCCAGAUGGCACCAGCAAAGGCUGCGCCUUUGUGAAGUUCCAAAUGCACGCAGAAGCCCAGGCGGCCAUCAGUACGUUGCACGGGAGCCGCACGUUGCCGGGCGCUUCUUCCAGCCUGGUGGUGAAGUUUGCAGACACGGAGAAGGAGAGGGGUCUCAGGCGGAUGCAGCAGGUGGCCAACCAACUGGGCAUGUUCAGCCCCAUCGCGCUGCAGUUCGGGGCCUACAGCGCCUACACUCAGGCCCUCAUGCACCAGCAGGCCGCCCUGGUCGCCGCCCACUCUGCCUACCUCAACCCCAUGGCAGCCGUGCAGAUGCAGCAGAUGGCCACCCUCGCCCCCAACGGCCUCAUCGCCACCCCCAUCACCCCUUCCUCAGGAAGCAGCACACCACCCACCCUCACGGCCACCCCGGUCUCUGCCAUCCCAGCCACCCUCAGCGUCAACGGCUACAGCCCCGUGGCCACGCAGAGCACGGGCCAAGCGGCCUCCGAGGGGCUCUAUACCAACGGCGUCCACCCCUUUCCAGCACAGAGCUCAGCUGCGCCGCUUGAUCCCUUGCAACAGGCCUACGCCGGGAUGCAACAUUACACAGCUGCCUACCCUACAGCCUACGGACUGGUCAGCCCUGCCUUUACCCAGCAGCCCGCCAUCAUAACCCAGCAAGCUCCCCCACAGCAGAGAGAAGGACCUGAAGGAUGCAACAUCUUCAUUUAUCACUUGCCGCAGGAGUUCACCGACUCGGAGAUCUUACAGAUGUUCCUCCCCUUUGGGAACGUCAUUUCGGCCAAAGUUUUUGUCGACCGAGCGACCAAUCAGAGUAAAUGCUUCGGAUUCGUAAGUUUCGACAAUCCCGCCAGCGCGCAAGGCGCCAUCCAAGCCAUGAACGGCUUCCAGAUUGGGAUGAAAAGGUUGAAGGUGCAGUUAAAACGCCCCAAAGACGCCAACCGGCCGUAUUGAGCCACUUGACCAGCUGCCAGGGGGCCAAUCAUAUCUUGAGACGACUCUGUUGCUAAGACACCCUUCGUUGUCGCAGGAGACCUAGCUCCGCCCCCCUUGUCUGGAGCUCAAAGUAGGAGCCAUCUCUGCUUGACCUCUGUCACCCACUCUCCUUCUCCUCCUCCUCUCUGCUCUUCUUGUUCCUCAUCCAUCUCCUAGAAAAUGGCUUCUUCCGGGCAUCGGUUGCUUCGCUCAUUGACUUGACUCUGUUGGUCACCAAGACCUCUCUCCAAGGAUGGAGUUUCCCACCAGACCGGCUUCUUCUCCUGCUGCCUCCUCUCCAGCGUGGGAUCUGGCCCCCCUCUCUCUCCUUUAGGUCCAACCAAGGAGCAUCAGAUUGUGGGAGAUGCCUCCAAGGUCCAUUCUUGGUCAACAGUGGAACGAUGGAGAAUGGGGAAGAACUAGGAGGUUGAUUUUUGGAAUAGGUGGAUGGAUUUGAGAUGGACUUCACUGGAGAUGGAUGGAUUCAAGAUCAGAAGGCAGCCACUUUUGGGGGUCUCGCCCUCAUGGAGUCUCCCCCCCCUCUCCCCACUUUUCCUAACCCGCAUCGUCUUCUUGCAGGCCUUGGUGAAUGUUGGGUUGUAGUCAACAAGUCCAAGCCAAAAUUCAGCUACCUCUAACUUUGUACAUCUCAACCACACGACGGCCCUUGUGAAAGAGGGGGACCAACCCAUGCUCUCCAGAUGCUGCCAAGAGAGCUCUCUGAGCUUCCCUCACCAUAAACCCCCUAGCCAGAAUCGAAUGGGCUUUGUAGUCCUGCAGGUUUGAGAAAGCCACAGGUUUCCCUGACUAGAUUUCUAAGCUCCCAGUAGAGAGAUCAGGGACCAAGAGGCAGCCUAGCUUCUGAUUAAACCAGUGUUUCUCAACUGAAACACUGAAGAGGGGUGGGCUACAAGUCCCAGAAUGGGGAAUUCUGGGAGUUGUAAUCCACCCGCUUUGGGAGUUGAAGUCCACCUGUCUUCAAACUUGCCAAGACUGAGAAACUUUGCAUGAAAUCCGUUUUCUUUCUAAUGGCCUUUUGGGGGGGGGGGGAGAAUUGA
Crotalus tigris (Tiger rattlesnake) is the source of this 3072-nucleotide RNA transcript. It is a transcript of the gene named CUGBP Elav-like family member 3, with no coding region annotated. The record is from RefSeq and is a predicted model, not a curated record. The transcript is spliced from 14 exons. NCBI's taxonomy places the organism in Eukaryota, Metazoa, Chordata, Lepidosauria, Squamata, Viperidae.